This 773-nucleotide ribosomal RNA is filed under the name uncultured Neocallimastigales. RNAcentral describes it as "partial large subunit ribosomal RNA". It matches the Rfam family "Eukaryotic large subunit ribosomal RNA", at positions 22 to 639 of the family's 3401-position model. Lineage: Eukaryota; Fungi; Neocallimastigomycota; Neocallimastigomycetes; Neocallimastigales. The record is from RNAcentral.
UACACGCUGUGACUAGCAUAUCAAUAAGCGGAGGAAAAGAAACUAACAAGGAUUCCCCUAGUAACGGCGAGUGAAGCGGGAAGAGCUCAAAUUUGAAAUCUUAAAGGGUUUCCCUUUACGAAUUGUAGUUUAAAGAAGUGUUUUCUGUUGAGGUUUUGGUAAAAGUUCUUUGGAAUAGGACAUCAUAGAGGGUGAGAAUCCCGUAUUUGACCUUUACUUUCAACUUUGUGAUACACUUUCAAAGAGUCGGAUUGUUUGGGAAUGCAGUCCAAAAUGGGUGGUAAAUUUCAUCUAAAGCUAAAUAUUGGCGAGAGACCGAUAGCGAACAAGUACCGUGAGGGAAAGAUGAAAAGAACUUCGAAAAGAGAGUUAAACAGUACGUGAAAUUGUCAAAAGGGAAGCGUUUGACACCAGUGUUGUUUUUCUGAAAAUCAAUUAAAGAACUGUUUAUGCUAAGUUGUUUAGACUUUAUCAGCUAACUGUUUAGUUUUGAGCUUUUCUUUAAUGCACUUUUCAGUUAACAAGUCAACAUCAAUUUCUUUUGCUGUAAAAAAGCUUGAGGAAGGUGGCUUGAGAUUCGUCUUAAGUGUUUAUAGCCUCUUGCCUAUGCAGUCGGAGAGAUUGAGGUCUGCAGCGUAGAUCCUUCGGGGCUAAAUGCAUUUGUGCUAAGUUAUAACAUUUUAUAGACAACUUGUUGACUAUGAUUUGUCUUGUAGCUUACUCGCUUAUGUUAUUUUACCUACGCUUAGGAUGUUGACGCGCGUGUGUGCGUG